UCCUACGGGAGGCAGCAGUGGGGAAUUUUGGACAAUGGGGGCAACCCUGAUCCAGCCAUGCCGCGUGAGUGAAGAAGGCCUUCGGGUUGUAAAGCUCUUUCGGCCGGAACGAAACGGUGGAUGCUAACACCAUCCAUUACUGACGGUACCGGAAUAAGAAGCACCGGCUAACUACGUGCCAGCAGCCGCGGUA
This 193-nucleotide ribosomal RNA is filed under the name uncultured Nitrosospira sp. Its description in RNAcentral is "partial 16S ribosomal RNA". It matches the Rfam family "Bacterial small subunit ribosomal RNA", at positions 337 to 522 of the family's 1533-position model. Lineage: Bacteria; Pseudomonadati; Pseudomonadota; Betaproteobacteria; Nitrosomonadales; Nitrosomonadaceae. The record is from RNAcentral.